GACGAACGCUUGCGACGUGCCUAAGAAAUGCAAGUCGAACGGGGGAGCAAUCCCUACGUGGCGAACGGUCGCGUAACACGUGGGCAACCUGCCCUGAAGCGGGGGACAACAGUCCGAAAGGGCUGCUAAUACCGCAUGUGAAGGGGAAUGGCAUCAUUCCUUGUUCAAAGCUUUAUGCACUUCAGGAUGGGCCCGCGGCCUAUCAGCUUGUUGGUGGGGUAACGGCCUACCAAGGCUUCGACGGGUAGCUGGUCUGAGAGGACGGCCAGCCGGAUUGGGACUGAGACACGGCCCAAACUCCUACGGGGGGCAGCAAUCAGGAAGUCUUGCGCAAUGGGGGAACCCGUAGACGCAGCGACGUCGCGUGGAGGAUGACGGCC
RNAcentral lists this ribosomal RNA (380 nucleotides) under uncultured bacterium. Its description in RNAcentral is "bacterial SSU rRNA". It matches the Rfam family "Bacterial small subunit ribosomal RNA", at positions 28 to 416 of the family's 1533-position model. The record is from RNAcentral.